This 434-nucleotide ribosomal RNA is filed under the name uncultured bacterium. Its description in RNAcentral is "bacterial SSU rRNA". It matches the Rfam family "Bacterial small subunit ribosomal RNA", at positions 355 to 786 of the family's 1533-position model. The record is from RNAcentral.
UGAGGAAUAUUGGUCAAUGGGCGCGAGCCUGAACCAGCCAAGUAGCGUGCAGGACGACGGCCCUAUGGGUUGUAAACUGCUUUUAUACGGGGAUAAAGUAUGCCACGUGUGGUUUAUUGCAGGUACCGUAUGAAUAAGGACCGGCUAAUUCCGUGCCAGCAGCCGCGGUAAUACGGAAGGUCCGGGCGUUAUCCGGAUUUAUUGGGUUUAAAGGGAGCGUAGGCCGGGUUUUAAGCGUGCCGUGAAAUGUCGGGGCUCAACCUUGACACUGCGGCGCGAACUGGAGUCCUUGAGUGCGCGGAACGUAUGCGGAAUUCGUGGUGUAGCGGUGAAAUGCUUAGAUAUCACGAAGAACCCCGAUUGCGAAGGCAGCAUACGGCAGCGCUACUGACGCUGAAGCUCGAAGGCGCGGGUAUCGAACAGGAUUAGAUACC